This 85-nucleotide transfer RNA is filed under the name Felis catus (domestic cat). It matches the Rfam family "tRNA". From Rfam's summary of the family: Transfer RNA (tRNA) molecules are approximately 80 nucleotides in length. Their secondary structure includes four short double-helical elements and three loops (D, anti-codon, and T loops). The record is from Rfam by way of RNAcentral. Lineage: Eukaryota; Metazoa; Chordata; Mammalia; Carnivora; Felidae.
GCCUGGGUGGCUCAGUUGGUGAAGCCUCUGACUUUGGCUCAGGUCCUAAUCUCACGGUUCGUGGGUUCGAGCCCCGCGUCGGGCU